GCUAAUACCGCAUAAUGUCGCAAGACCAAAGUGGGGGACCUUCGGGCCUCAUGCCAUCAGAUGUGCCCAGAUGGGAUUAGCUAGUAGGUGGGGUAACGGCUCACCUAGGCGACGAUCCCUAGCUGGUCUGAGAGGAUGACCAGCCACACUGGAACUGAGACACGGUCCAGACUCCUACGGGAGGCAGCAGUGGGGAAUAUUGCACAAUGGGCGCAAGCCUGAUGCAGCCAUGCCGCGUGUGUGAAGAAGGCCUUCGGGUUGUAAAGCACUUUCAGCGG
This 278-nucleotide ribosomal RNA is filed under the name Klebsiella sp. LM1005. RNAcentral's name for it is "partial 16S ribosomal RNA". It matches the Rfam family "Bacterial small subunit ribosomal RNA", at positions 162 to 442 of the family's 1533-position model. RNAcentral also lists the same sequence under 1 other name. The record is from RNAcentral. Lineage: Bacteria; Pseudomonadati; Pseudomonadota; Gammaproteobacteria; Enterobacterales; Enterobacteriaceae.